AGAGCGAACGCUGGCGGCAGGCCUAACACAUGCAAGUCGAGCGCCCCGCAAGGGGAGCGGCAGACGGGAGAGUAACACGUGGGAACGUGCCCUUUGGUUCGGAACAACCCAGGGAAACUUGGGCUAAUACCGGAUAAGUCCGUAAGGAGAAAGAUUUAUCGCCGGAGGAUUGGCCCGCGUUCGAUUAGCUUGUUGGUGAGGUAACGGCUCACCAAGGCGAUGAUCGAUAGCUGGUCUGAGAGGAUGAUCAGCCACAUUGGGACUGAGACACGGCCCAAACUCCUACGGGAGGCAGCAGUGGGGAAUAUUGGACAAUGGGCGCAAGCCUGAUCCAGCCAUGCCGCGUGAGUGAUGACGGCCUUAGGGUUGUAAAGCUCUUUCGCUCGGGACGAUAAUGACGGUACCGAGAUAAGAAGCCCCGGCUAACUUCGUGCCAGCAGCCGC
This 444-nucleotide ribosomal RNA is filed under the name uncultured bacterium. RNAcentral's name for it is "SSU rRNA". It matches the Rfam family "Bacterial small subunit ribosomal RNA", at positions 26 to 518 of the family's 1533-position model. The record is from RNAcentral.